GACGAACGCUGGCGGCGUGCUUAACACAUGCAAGUCGAACGGAAAGGCCCUGCUUUUGUGGGGUGCUCGAGUGGCGAACGGGUGAGUAACACGUGAGUAACCUGCCCUUGACUUUGGGAUAACUUCAGGAAACUGGGGCUAAUACCGGAUAGGAGCUCCUGCUGCAUGGUGGGGGUUGGAAAGUUUGGGCGGUUGGGGAUGGACUCGCGGCUUAUCAGCUUGUUGGUGGGGUAGUGGCUUACCAAGGCUUUGACGGGUAGCCGGCCUGAGAGGGUGACCGGCCACAUUGGGACUGAGAUACGACCCAGACUCCUACGGGAGGCAGCAGUGGGGAAUAUUGCACAAUGGGCGGAAGCCUGAUGCAGCAACGCCGCGUGCGGGAUGACGGCCUUCGGGUUGUAAACCGCUUUCGCCUGUGACGAAGCGUGAGUGACGGUAAUGGGUAAAGAAGCACCGGCUAACUACGUG
RNAcentral lists this ribosomal RNA (468 nucleotides) under uncultured bacterium. Its description in RNAcentral is "partial 16S ribosomal RNA". It matches the Rfam family "Bacterial small subunit ribosomal RNA", at positions 28 to 507 of the family's 1533-position model. The record is from RNAcentral.